GGGUUCCUGUCCAACGUUAAUCGGGGCAGGGUGAGUCGACCCCUAAGGCGAGGCCGAAAGGCGUAGUCGAUGGGAAACAGGUUAAUAUUCCUGUACUUGGUGUUACUGCGAAGGGGGGACGGAGAAGGCUAUGUUGGCCGGGCGACGGUUGUCCCGGUUUAAGCGUGUAGGCUGGUUUUCCAGGCAAAUCCGGAAAAUCAAGGCUGAGGCGUGAUGACGAGGCACUACGGUGCUGAAGCAACAAAUGCCCUGCUUCCAGGAAAAGCCUCUAAGCAUCAGGUAACAUCAAAUCGUACCCCAAACCGACACAGGUGGUCAGGUAGAGAAUACCAAGGCGCUUGAGAGAACUCGGGUGAAGGAACUAGGCAAAAUGGUGCCGUAACUUCGGGAGAAGGCACGCUGAUAUGUAGGUGAAGUCCCUCGCGGAUGGAGCUGAAAUCAGUCGAAGAUACCAGCUGGCUGCAACUGUUUAUUAAAAACACAGCACUGUGCAAACACGAAAGUGGACGUAUACGGUGUGACGCCUGCCCGGUGCCGGAAGGUUAAUUGAUGGGGUUAGCGCAAGCGAAGCUCUUGAUCGAAGCCCCGGUAAACGGCGGCCGUAACUAUAACGGUCCUAAGGUAGCGAAAUUCCUUGUCGGGUAAGUUCCGACCUGCACGAAUGGCGUAAUGAUGGCCAGGCUGUCUCCACCCGAGACUCAGUGAAAUUGAACUCGCUGUGAAGAUGCAGUGUACCCGCGGCAAGACGGAAAGACCCCGUGAACCUUUACUAUAGCUUGACACUGAACAUUGAGCCUUGAUGUGUAGGAUAGGUGGGAGGCUUUGAAGUGUGGACGCCAGUCUGCAUGGAGCCGACCUUGAAAUACCACCCUUUAAUGUUUGAUGUUCUAACGUUGACCCGUAAUCCGGGUUGCGGACAGUGUCUGGUGGGUAGUUUGACUGGGGCGGUCUCCUCCUAAAGAGUAACGGAGGAGCACGAAGGUUGGCUAAUCCUGGUCGGACAUCAGGAGGUUAGUGCAAUGGCAUAAGCCAGCUUGACUGCGAGCGUGACGGCGCGAGCAGGUGCGAAAGCAGGUCAUAGUGAUCCGGUGGUUCUGAAUGGAAGGGCCAUCGCUCAACGGAUAAAAGGUACUCCGGGGAUAACAGGCUGAUACCGCCCAAGAGUUCAUAUCGACGGCGGUGUUUGGCACCUCGAUGUCGGCUCAUCACAUCCUGGGGCUGAAGUAGGUCCCAAGGGUAUGGCUGUUCGCCAUUUAAAGUGGUACGCGAGCUGGGUUUAGAACGUCGUGAGACAGU
This 1296-nucleotide ribosomal RNA is filed under the name Escherichia coli. RNAcentral's name for it is "partial 23S ribosomal RNA". It matches the Rfam family "Bacterial large subunit ribosomal RNA", at positions 1349 to 2630 of the family's 2925-position model. Lineage: Bacteria; Pseudomonadati; Pseudomonadota; Gammaproteobacteria; Enterobacterales; Enterobacteriaceae. The record is from RNAcentral.